RNAcentral lists this ribosomal RNA (441 nucleotides) under uncultured bacterium. RNAcentral's name for it is "partial 16S ribosomal RNA". It matches the Rfam family "Bacterial small subunit ribosomal RNA", at positions 339 to 795 of the family's 1533-position model. The record is from RNAcentral.
CUACGGGUGGCUCCAGUGGGGAAUAUUGGGCAAUGGGCGCAAGCCUGACCCAGCAACGCCGCGUGAGGGAAGAAGGUUUUCGGAUUGUAAACCUCUGUCCUUGGGGACGAAGAAGUGACGGUACCCAAGGAGGAAGCUCCGGCUAACUACGUGCCAGCAGCCGCGGUAAUACGUAGGGAGCAAGCGUUGUCCGGAAUUACUGGGCGUAAAGGGUGCGUAGGCGGCAUAUUGAGUCAGGUGUGAAAUACUCGGGCUCAACCCGGGGGCUGCAUUUGAAACUGAUAUGCUUGAGUGUGAGAGAGGAAAGUGGAAUUCCUAGUGUAGCGGUGGAAUGCGUAGAUAUUAGGAGGAACACCAGUGGCGAAGGCGACUUUCUGGCUCAUAACUGACGCUGAGGCACGAAAGCGUGGGGAGCAAACAGGAUUAGAUACCCCCGUAGUC